CUAAUACUAAAUUUGUGAUACAAGAAGAUGAAGGAGAAAGGAAGGAAAUAUUUGUCAUCCCUCUCGCACAUCCUCGGAAGGGAGAAUAUGGGAAUACAAGAUGAUUGAGUGGGAUAAGGAAACUUUGAUAAGCAACCUAAAAUUCAAACUGAUCUUUUGCUGCAAAUUUGUAAAGUGAUCCAUCACCCUUUGACCAUUCAUAUUAUUCCUACAAGAAGACAUGAACCUAUAUAUGAAAGGUCAACGUUGAAACAUUAGCAUCAUUUACUACUUAGAAAAAAUAUAUGAAAAGGAGAG
This 297-nucleotide long non-coding RNA is filed under the name Medicago truncatula (barrel medic). Its description in RNAcentral is "long non-coding RNA (MTRU_LNC008234)". The record is from RNAcentral. Lineage: Eukaryota; Viridiplantae; Streptophyta; Magnoliopsida; Fabales; Fabaceae.